AGGGUGAGAAAAAAAUCUCUAAA
RNAcentral lists this small nuclear RNA (23 nucleotides) under Arabidopsis thaliana (thale cress). RNAcentral's name for it is "snRNA_11487". Lineage: Eukaryota; Viridiplantae; Streptophyta; Magnoliopsida; Brassicales; Brassicaceae. The record is from RNAcentral.